AGAAGCAGGCUGUUUCCUGAAGAGGUUUUGUAGGUCAAGUAACAAGGGACAGUAGCACAGGGAUUCCCUCACAGAGUAUCACUCAUUUAUUGUUUGUGUUUCUAUUGAGGUGAUGCUUUAUGCCAGCUGAAUAGAGUGCAUCUGACAGACCCUUUCUGCUUUCUUCCAGUGUCCUCCUGUGCUUGGCCUCUGUGGUUCUCCACAUGCAGUGUUGGAAGGAUUCCCUGCAGGUCCCUCUUUGAUACUUCCCUGAGCCUUUCUCUGCGGCUCUUACUUUCUGUACAUCGAUGGAGCCCUGCUUCAGAGCACGUGAACGUGUGAACACGGCCAGCGCACUGCAUCGGCCAGAGCCCGCUCCCAGCACGGCGUGCCCACGGCAGGAGACUGGGUGCCAGAGUAGCACCAGGAUGUGAAGAAUGGAUGCUGCUGGAUGCUCAAGAGCAGAGGAUCUAUCAACUGCAGACCAAGCAGAGGGAGAGGCAGGCAGAACUGGAGCAGAAAUGCAGCCGGAUCCAGCAGCUCAACCAGGACGUGGAGGCCAGUCACCAGCUGCAGGAGGAAGCUCAGAAGCAGUGGGGAGAGCUGCAGGGAAGGGCUCGGCAGAAGACCUACAACGUGUCCAUCAGUUCCAUAUAUUGGGAGCUUGUAGAGGACUGACACACUGGAACAGUUGUGGAAGAAGGUAGGUGUGAGAAUGGACAAAAGCACAGGGCAGGCUGGGGACAAUAUGGAUCACAUAACUAGCAAUUAUGCUUCUUACUCUGACACUGACAUCAGUCAGCAGUGCUGCCAAAGCGUGGCUCUAACAUACAAGGGCUGUGAAUAAUCUGUGGCCUUGGCGUGGUCCUACAGCACCAAAACACCACCGCUUUAAUUACAAAUAUUUAUGUUACAUCUUUGCAUGCCACCUUCCCUAGCACCAUGGCAGCGUGACAGCAGAUGCUCUGACACAAGUCGGGUUAAGACUUAUGCUGCAAGAACGUGCAAUUGCUUUGGCACGGCGUGAGUUUACAAGCACACCUGACCUAGGAAAGCCACAUCUGAAGGCUGGCCUCCUCCAUCCCCAAGGCCCCAGCAGGCAGCGUGUCUCCACCCCCGAACAGAGGGCAGCGUGUUGCCGUUUUCAGACUGUGCUAAUCCCUUUGUGUGUUUUGAAGAUGAUGCUGUUCCCUGGUGCAUUUCACCUCGUGGCUGCACAGAUCCCUUCCGCUGGAUGGCAAUCUUAAAGGAUGCUGAGGGGAAAUCCCAGGAAGCUGGUCUCUGAUCUGAGUCACGCUGCUGGUGCAGGGAAGCACUCUGUCACACGCAGGCAUGGCACAGGGUGUUCCCUGCAGCUUGGCACAUACUGAAGUCGAUAGCCCUCAGCAGGAACUUGCAUUCAGUAUUAUACUGUCUAAGAGGCUUAAAAUCGACUGUGAAGUUUCAGUAUAGCUACAAAAAACCCUGUUUUCAGUUUCUCCACUGGUAGCUUGCUCCAGAAGGAGACGGUGCAAUUUGGUGAUUGAUUCUUGGCAUCUGGCUGGUGCAUCUGCACUGGGGUAUUUUGAAUCACGUUGUGUAAUAUGAAAAAUAGUCGUUCAUUUCAUUCAUUUGAAUUUGUCUUGCGGGAAUGGCAGCUGCCCAGACAAAUUCCAUGUGAAGAUGGGAAAUGUGAUGGAGAGCCCAGUACUGUGUGUAGCAGAAACA
Molecule: long non-coding RNA, 1686 nt
Filed under: Calidris pugnax (ruff)
Lineage: Eukaryota; Metazoa; Chordata; Aves; Charadriiformes; Scolopacidae
Description: lncRNA (ENSCPUG00000011034.1)
Source: RNAcentral